Molecule: non-coding RNA, 1048 nt
Organism: Theobroma umbraticum
Lineage: Eukaryota; Viridiplantae; Streptophyta; Magnoliopsida; Malvales; Malvaceae
Source: RefSeq, a predicted model, not a curated record
UAUGGGAUAAUGAUCAGAAAUUUUAUUGUUGGAAAUUGAAAUAAGUUCUUUUAAUUAACUGGAAGGUUCCAUUUAAAAUUUUCCAUGGAUUGAGUUUAAGUCUUCUACUGUUAUGUUUAUUGAACUAAUGGUAACAGAUAUUGCAUUGACAGCAUGUCUUGAAACAUGCACUGUGGAUCAGGGCCUAUGCCUUCCACUGUACCAAAAAACGAGGCCCUCUGGAGAUGUCUUCUCGAAUCUGAUAUUACACGCUUUUACCUGUUACAGGGUCUGAUUCAAUCUGUCUUUGAACUUCGUGAUGGAUCUGGGGUAGUUGUCACUGUAGGAAAGUAUGUGACACCACAUCACUUGGACAUAAAUGGCAAUGGAAUCGAUCCUGAUUAUAGAAACUUCCCAGCUUGGAACGAUGUCGUACAGCAUCUUUUGCAAUGCAAUUUGCUUCGGCAGGGUUAAAACCAGUUUAUAUUUUGAAACUUUUGGCAAUUCAAGUGGAGGCAUGAUUUGAUUUGCUUGCCCGAGAGUUGCAUAUCAUGGAGCUGACACACAAAAGUUGAGUUAAGAGCAUUGGCUUACACAAGCCUUGGCAUAUGUCCUGCAUGUCAGAGUCUGGUUUAGGUUUUAGAGUUUCAGUGGAUCUGAUCCUACAUAACAUUACACCAAUCAAAGAAAAACAUAUUGCAUUGACAUUGGAAAGUUCGAAAUGAACCAGCUCUAAGUCCAAAGAAAUCCCAACCAUAUGGAAGAAUUUAGCACAUAACAACCAGGAAGUAAAAGAAGCAAUGAUUUACUGUGAGAAAGUUUGCUGUAAAUUUUGUUCAUAUAUAUCUCAGUUAUGGAUACAAGUGAUAUUCAAGUAAAUCCGAAAUUCUUUGCCAAAGAGACUCAAGCUUGUCUUAUUCUUUCCUCAACUCUCUUCGUACAUUCUCAAUGUCUUAAAUUUUUGUUGACAAGAGGGAUGAGAUGUAGCCAUUACACUACUGCAGAGCAUUAUAUGUAGCCAGAAACUUGAUUUCUGUAGCUCACGGUUUCAGUGAGCUUCUGUUUUUGA